AUUCUGAUCAAUUCAAAUUUAAAUUCAAAACACAUUACUUUAAAGCUUCACUCUCUCUCUUAUCUUCAUAUUUUAUUUUUAUCAUGUUUAUGUCCGCAUUUCUCAUCCAAUAUGAGACACUACAGUUCUCAGUGGAGAGGAGUAGGUGGCGUCGGAAGGGGAGAAGAUUUUCUCCAACGGCGUCGUAGAGAAGAGAGGGUUAAGGGGGGAGAGAGAGAGCACGACAGAAAGAAAGAGAGAGAAAGACAAAAUGAACUUGGCCGACUGAGCUGCUCCAUAACACCCAUAGGUCGAACAUGGCUUUAUCUUGCCAUUUCUUUACACAAUUUGGAGCGCCAAGAAUAAACUGCUGGUCAACGGUGAGGAAUCCAUGCCAGAGAUGGUGAUACAACGCACGACAGUGGGGCACGCAAAGUGUUAAAAAGCGACGACCCAACCCCCACUUCUCUGAAUCAGACAACUUUGCCCACUGCUCUGAAUCAGUUUUUAUUUUUCUUUCUAAAAGUAGCACAAGUUCUGUUAACAAUUCAAAUGCUCAAAGAUGAGGUGCAAGCUUUGUUUGAUGAUGCUGGAAAGCGUAAUGAUUUAGCCACACUCUUUAUACCGUACAGAAGAGAGAUUAGGAGAUGUCGAAGUCGGCAAUGGUGGAGCUGGCAGCAAUUUUCUAUGCACGCCAAUGACACCUAUGGAAUGAUAUAACAAAAGAGGGGAGCCCACAGCAACAAGCUUUUGGUGGUUUGAAGUCACUCUCUCAAAGAAUCAGAAGCGGCCAGGAAAAUUCAAUCAUCUUGGGACUGGAAUCUUAGUGCAGGAUUUAACUGGGAAAGAAGGAAGAAGAAACAGGAAAAUGACAACGGAGUAAAAGAGAAAGGAGCUGCUCUUGCUUGGUUAAUCCUGAAGAUAUCAGUAAAGCGUCGCAAAUUGUCUUCCAAAAUAUACCAAGCUUCCAAGCAACUGCAGAAGAGGUGGAUCUCAACAAUGAUGCUCAGUUCAAGGUUUAUUCCAAUGCACCGGAUGGGAAUGAUCCAUUGGCUUUGGAUAUGGAAAGCAUAGGGAAGGGCCAGGUAUGGAUUAAUGGAGAAAGCAUAGGAAGAUACUGAAUGGCUUAUGGAAAUGGUGGCUGCAAUUCUUACAGAUAUCUUAAGUUGAUUCUACUUUGCUGUAAAGCGCCAACUCAUGGGAAGCAAAAGGUGAUGAUUUGGAGAGUUAGCAGUAACAGAUUCAUGCCAGAUUGAUUGCUGCCACAGCAAAGGUCAAGGACUUAGAAAAUUUUAUUUACUGUUGAUAUUUGUCUUUUUAACUGUUAUCAAUGCUUUAAGUGUGUGCAUUAAAAAAAUAUUUGUAUAUAUCUUUUUAAUAUUAGUUGUAUUUGUUAUUUGAAAAGAUGUGAGAUUUGGAGCAAAUGGUGAUGGAAUUGGAAAAAUGAAAUAAAAAUGGAUCAGAAAUUGAGACAUGGAUUUCAUGUUCAAUUGUCAAUGAUCCUCGAAUCAAGGAUUAAGG
Long non-coding RNA from Arachis stenosperma, 1500 nucleotides. RefSeq lists it as uncharacterized. NCBI's taxonomy places the organism in Eukaryota, Viridiplantae, Streptophyta, Magnoliopsida, Fabales, Fabaceae. The record is from RefSeq and is a predicted model, not a curated record. The transcript has 8 exons.